Cyanistes caeruleus (blue tit) is the source of this 2821-nucleotide long non-coding RNA. RefSeq lists it as uncharacterized. Lineage: Eukaryota; Metazoa; Chordata; Aves; Passeriformes; Paridae. The record is from RefSeq and is a predicted model, not a curated record.
GCACAUCAAAAUGAAAAGCAAACAGCCUCCAGCCACCCACAUCUUAAAGAGAAUUGGUUUGGGCUGCAGCUGGAGCCUCUUGCCUCUCCACCCAUGUGCAGAUGACUAGGCUGAGCUCUUGGGAAACUGAUCAAAGAUACACCCAGUAUUUCCCAACACCUUUCCUGAUCAGAGGAAAGGAUGUAGCACUUUCCUUAGCGUAAGUCUCAUUUAACUUGAAUUUUAUUCUCUCAAUGUCCUUCUAAGUGGGGAAAGGGGAGUAGACGGCAUCUUACAUUCAGUGACUUGACUUCCCUCUGCCUGACUGAAAAGGUGCCAAGGUAAACACCAGCACCAGAAGUAGAAAAUAAUUAAAUCCCAGAUUCAGGUAAGUACUGCAAAUAAGGCAUUUCUGCUUCUUUUCCAUCAAACCAAGAACUGCAUUCAGGCAACCAUAAUAGCAACUGAAUGUGCAACAAAAUCUACUUUUCAACUCUAGUGCCAAUUUCCUGAAAGACAAAGUACAAUCAAAAAACACAAAAGCUGUCCCAAUUUCAGCAUAUGCUGCUGAAACACAUAACAUGAGAACACACAGUCAGAAGUAUUCAUUCUGCAGUUACAGUCACGUGGCACAGUCACAUUCACAAAUGUGAACCUACAAAGCUCAGAACCUACUGGGGGAAGGCUAACAACUGCUAGCAGCCCUCCCUGGUAAGGGAGAACUAACAUUUCAAGACCACAGAAAAAAUUCCUGCCAUCCCCCUCACCAGCAAAUAAGAGGAAUAUUGUUCCAGAGUGAAGACCAGCGACACAGCAACACACCAGAGACAUUUUAGUCUGUAGGGGCAGGUACAUGGGAGCAGGUGAAAUGAGAGUAUGUGCUGCACACAGGCAAUGGGCAUUUCUGUGGGCAUCAGCAUUAGGGAAUUUGCUAGGAACAGGUAGGUUUAUGGCCACAGCAACAAACUUCAUCUGUGUCCUACCCAUACUGCUGACCUUCCUCCUCACAGAUAACAAGUGAUGCAAGACACUGUAAAAAAGUACUUCAGGUCUGACUUCAAGGCCUGGUUUUGGUACAAAGCCCUUGAGAUUGAGAAACUUGGGCUGUAGGGGGCCUACAUGCAUUGAUGAGCAUUUCAGCACAUUACUGAAAAAAGAUAAUGCAGAAUUUUCCAAACUUGAGCAGCAGUGCUAUGAAGUGGACAAAAGGCAUUUGAGGAAAAAUCAUUGUCCUGAGACAACAUUUUUGUGAACGGAGAGAAAAAUCCUUCCAGUUCUUAGGAAUAAAGGGAGUGGCAGUUGUUAAAACUGGAAUUCUGCCACUUGUACCAACUUCUCCCCAGAUGAGGAGUUCCUCACAGCCCUAUUCAUGGAGCUGAUGACAAUUCAAACCUUCUUUUGCGUAAGACCCUGCUGAUUCACUCAAAUGCUGAUCACGUUCAAUCACUUGUGCCUUAUUCACACAGCAGGACAGAUAAGUUAAGGAACUGGAAGAGCCAGCUCACCUUACUGAGGCCAGAAAUCAGAAAUCACCAGUGCUAAACCAGGAUAUUUUAUAAACCUGUCCACUAACAAGGAUACAGAUCCUGCUGCCUUCCUUGGGAAAGGAUGUUAAGGUCUCCAGGUCAGCAGUACACUACUGGAGAACUCUAGAUUCUGUCUAGCAACAAAUACACUGAGCACAAAGUCUAGGUGGGUUCAUUUAUAAUCUUGGAAAGACUGUAGGUGUGAAACAAAAGAUAUUAAUGUUGUGUGGAAAUCAUUCACUGGACUCCAUAUUUCUGGCUUUGCUGGUUUUUGACUUUAAAGCAUACCACUUUUUUUUUUUUUUUUCUCCAGAAUGCACAGUUGUGCAGGAGGGAAAAAAAAUCAAGACUAAUUGUCAGCAAGUUGAUGCUGAAGAGGCAAAUAAUACUGUUUCCUUUCCACAGCAGUGCUGAUGGUUGUCCCAAAAUCCAGUGAUAUUUCUAAGACUGGGAUGAAGUACUCAUCCUGCACAAGCAUUUAAUGAAGCUACUUUGAAGUGCUGACAUUUCACAGACCUGUGAUCAAAGAUGAUCAGAGGCAACUGAUCAACCUUAUCUUGGGCAACCCCCACCUCCACCCACCCCUGUCUAAACUAAGUCUUGGAUGUAAUGAACCAGAUUUGGAACACUGCCAUGAAAAGAACAGCUGGCCCCAGGCCCUCUCUUGCACAACAAGAGUUGCAGAAAAGCAAUGAGAAAUCUUCAAGAAUGAGUUCUCCAAGUCAAAGUUCUGCAUAAAGCAGUUGGAGUACCUUGAGAAAAAAAAAAGAGGAAGAAAAAUGAAGUUUGAACACUAGGAUUUACAUCCUCCAAGACUUAAAAGGAGAAUCAUUUCAAGCUUGAGAAUUCAGCUAAGUAGGUCCAAAACAAAACAAGACUGGGUUCUACUGGCUCUGGAGGGUCCCAAUUCAGCUCACCCAAAGUCUCUUUCCAGUUUGGCUCUCACAGUUAUGGACCACCUUGAUGGAAAAUACCCCACACCAUCAUUGACUCUUCGGAGGCUUGUAGUGAAUUCGGCACCGCUCAUUAAAUACCUGAGACACCAAAACAGAAGAGCAAAAGUCAAUCAGCCCCAUCCAGGAAAUGAGCAGAGGUUCACCAACAGUUUAAGCAACUACUUCUUCAUGUAGCACCCAUCUCAAGCUGCCCAGCUCUGAGGUAUCAAUAAAUGGCACUUACCAAGACAUCCAUCUCCAUUCACCUUCUCUUCUGGCUUUAGUAAAGACAAAGUUUGCAGUUUGGAGACUGCACAGCACUAAGUGUUCUCCCUCCAAUAAUAAAGAUUCUUAAUCCUGGCAGGCUGUUAUCAUCAAAAA